GAAUGGUUGGCUCAGUUAGAAAGAGCGCUCGCAGGCAACGCGAGAGGUCGCGGGUUCGAGUCCCGCAUCGUUCA
This is a non-coding RNA of Leptidea sinapis, 74 nucleotides long. The record is from the annotation of a RefSeq genome assembly. Lineage: Eukaryota; Metazoa; Arthropoda; Insecta; Lepidoptera; Pieridae.